CCCGCAGUAACUCAGACUGGCUAGAGUGCUCGGCUGUAGACCGAGACCCCUUGGAGAGUCCUCUCUGAGGGUGGCGGGUCAGGUCGCCGGUUCAAAUCCGGCCUGCGGGACCA
This 113-nucleotide transfer RNA is filed under the name Candidatus Freyarchaeota archaeon. RNAcentral's name for it is "tRNA-Tyr". It matches the Rfam family "tRNA". From Rfam's summary of the family: Transfer RNA (tRNA) molecules are approximately 80 nucleotides in length. Their secondary structure includes four short double-helical elements and three loops (D, anti-codon, and T loops). The record is from RNAcentral. Lineage: Archaea; Promethearchaeati; Candidatus Freyarchaeota.